This 201-nucleotide long non-coding RNA is filed under the name Eucalyptus grandis. RNAcentral's name for it is "long non-coding RNA (EGRA_LNC000511)". The record is from RNAcentral. Lineage: Eukaryota; Viridiplantae; Streptophyta; Magnoliopsida; Myrtales; Myrtaceae.
AUCUUCGAGCAACCCACAGUAGCCUUCCUCCUCCGUCCCCUCCGCCUUAAAUAAGGAAAGACGGCGACGACGCUUUCUCUCUCUGCCAAGAAGCUCCAUCUCCAUCUCCCUUUCUCUCUCUAGUGUCUCCGUCGUCUCGCCACGGGGAUGAGGGAGGAGGAGGAGGAGGUGGAGGAGGGGGAAGCAGAGAUCGACCGCCUG